AGGUUAUAGCUGCUAUCACUUACCAAAUAGUUCCCACUGACACACAGUACGCUGAGAUACCUAUUGCUGCUGUCAGUUCAAUGUACCAACACAAGGGAUUUGGUAGCUCCUUGCUCCUGGAAUUGAAAAAGAGACUUCAAAGUGUUGGUAUAUGCACAAUAUUCUGUUGGGGAGACAAGGAAUCUGAAGGGUUUUGGCUCAAACAGAUCAGAAUGACAAGGAUUUGGAUCGGAUGAGUGAGAGGCAGGAUCUUGAAGGAAAGGAGCUAAAGUAAGAAACUACUUUGCAUGACCUGGAGCUGGUUUCUUUAGUUCACAGUCAUGUCAAUGCUGCAGAGCAAUAUGAUUUUGAGUAAGGCUAGAUUUUGAUGACCAUUUUGUAGAUGUAGUGAUAUCAGGAUGAAUUGUGAACAAAUUAUACUGCAUGUAGUUAUUGCAGUAGUGGUAUCUUCUAGACUAGCCUUAAAGUAGGUUAGGGUUUAUUGUGCAAAACUUUUGAAGCUUCCUCAAGCUCUAAUUUUGGAUAGAAAUUAAUGCAAUUCCCUAAUAUUUGAAUUUCAU
This is a long non-coding RNA of Rosa chinensis, 560 nucleotides long. RefSeq lists it as uncharacterized. The record is from RefSeq and is a predicted model, not a curated record. The transcript is spliced from 3 exons. NCBI's taxonomy places the organism in Eukaryota, Viridiplantae, Streptophyta, Magnoliopsida, Rosales, Rosaceae.